ACAGGGCCGGACUCCACCUAGACUCCUCAAUCAAACCGGCCCAAACCUCUCGGCCCAGUAAUCAGGCCCUCACCAGGCUCAACUUCAGCCCUACCAUUCAACCCAGCCCGGAAAGGGGAAAAUGACCAAGAUGCCCCGCUGGUAGGUCCUUCCGCAUGCGUAUCAGAGGAGAAUCAUACGUAUCAGAGGAGAAUUAAUGGCCGUUACGCAUGGAGCAGGCGCCUGACACAUCCGUACAUACGGAGCUAGGCGACAGAAGACAGCUAGCAUUGUGGCAGAGAGACAGAUAUAUAUAUCACGGUAGAGGCCACGCA
RNAcentral lists this long non-coding RNA (314 nucleotides) under Manihot esculenta (cassava). RNAcentral describes it as "long non-coding RNA (MESC_LNC004468)". The record is from RNAcentral. Lineage: Eukaryota; Viridiplantae; Streptophyta; Magnoliopsida; Malpighiales; Euphorbiaceae.